RNAcentral lists this ribosomal RNA (253 nucleotides) under uncultured bacterium. RNAcentral's name for it is "partial 16S ribosomal RNA". It matches the Rfam family "Bacterial small subunit ribosomal RNA", at positions 524 to 776 of the family's 1533-position model. The record is from RNAcentral.
UACGGAGGGUGCAAGCGUUAUCCGGAUUUACUGGGUUUAAAGGGUGCGUAGGUGGGUAGGUAAGUCAGUGGUGAAAUCUUCGAGCUUAACUCGGAAACUGCCAUUGAUACUAUCUGUCUUGAAUACUUUGGAGGUAAGCGGAAUAUGUCAUGUAGCGGUGAAAUGCUUAGAUAAGACAUAGAACACCAAUUGCGAAGGCAGCUUACUACACAGUCAUUGACACUGAGGCACGAAAGCGUGGGGAUCAAACAGG